This 553-nucleotide ribosomal RNA is filed under the name Chrysomya megacephala (oriental latrine fly). RNAcentral describes it as "partial 16S ribosomal RNA". It matches the Rfam family "Bacterial large subunit ribosomal RNA", at positions 1797 to 2619 of the family's 2925-position model. The record is from RNAcentral. Lineage: Eukaryota; Metazoa; Arthropoda; Insecta; Diptera; Calliphoridae.
CGCCUGUUUAACAAAAACAUGUCUUUUUGAAUUUUUUUUAAAGUCUAGCCUGCCCCCUGAAUAAUUUUAAAUGGCCGCAGUAUACUAACUGUGCAAAGGUAGCAUAAUCAUUAGUCUUUUAAUUUAAGGCUGGUAUGAAUGGUUGGACGAGAUAUUAACUGUUUCAUAAAAAUUUAUAAUAGAAUUUUAUUUUUUAGUCAAAAAGCUAAAAUAUAUUUAAAAGACGAGAAGACCCUAUAAAUCUUUAUAUUUAGGUUAUUAUAAUUUUAUAGAUUUUUUUUGUUAUAAUAAUUGAUAAUAUUUUAUUGGGGUGAUAUUAAAAUUUGAUAAACUUUUAAUUGUUUAAAUCAUUAAUUUAUGAAUAAUUGAUCCGUUAUUAGCGAUUAAAAAAAUAAGUUACUUUAGGGAUAACAGCGUAAUUUUUUUGGAGAGUUCAUAUCGAUAAAAAAGAUUGCGACCUCGAUGUUGGAUUAAGGUAUAAUUUUAGGUGUAGCCGCUUAAAUUUUAAGUCUGUUCGACUUUUAAAUUCUUACGUGAUCUGAGUUCAGACCGG